RNAcentral lists this ribosomal RNA (378 nucleotides) under Cephalopholis oligosticta (vermillion hind). Its description in RNAcentral is "partial 12S ribosomal RNA". Lineage: Eukaryota; Metazoa; Chordata; Actinopteri; Perciformes; Serranidae. The record is from RNAcentral.
GUGUGCGCGCUUCAGGGCCAGUUUCAGCGGAACGCUCUAUUUUCUGCUUACUGCUAAAUCCUCCUUCUAGAUACACGUUUCAGUAAUAUUUUUCGUAAUUCCUUGUAAUUAAGGAAUGUAGCCCAUUUCUUCCCUUUCCAUACGCUACACCUCGACCUGACGUUUUGGGUUGUACCAAUUGUGCUUACUAGGGGGCCUUCAUAGGGUAAGCUGACGACGGCGGUAUAUAGGCGGGGAGAACAAGAAAAGGUGAGGUUGAACGGGGGUUAUCGGUUUCAGAACAGGCUCCUCUAGGUGGGUCUAAAGCACCGCCAAGUCCUUUGGGUUUUAAGCUGUUGCUCGUAGUUCCCAGGCGGAUAGUAGGUGUAAAAAACUAUC